GAUCAGCUCAGGAUGAACGCUAGCUACAGGCUUAACACAUGCAAGUCGAGGGGAAACGACAUCGAAAGCUUGCUUUUGAUGGGCGUCGACCGGCGCACGGGUGAGUAACGCGUAUCCAACCUGCCCAUCACUUGGGAAUAACCUUGCGAAAGUAAGACUAAUGCCCAAUGAUAUCCCACGAAGGCAUCCGAAUGGGAUUAAAGAUUUAUCGGUGAUGGAUGGGGAUGCGU
This 230-nucleotide ribosomal RNA is filed under the name uncultured bacterium. RNAcentral's name for it is "partial 16S ribosomal RNA". It matches the Rfam family "Bacterial small subunit ribosomal RNA", at positions 15 to 236 of the family's 1533-position model. The record is from RNAcentral.